CUCUGAAGGAGCUGAUAGCUUUAGAUUGUUUGCUAACUGCACUACCUGAAGUUGUACAGGAAGUCUUUCCUUGAAGACUGAGAGAUGCUUCUCCAAGAUUUUAUUAGAUAAAGGAUGUUAUGUCAAGAGAACUCCUAAGAUCUUGUUUGCAUCUGUGAAAUUCUGAACAAUUGAUAAGAUAAUAUUUCCAGAAGACAUCAAUGACAAUUUAGCUAAGAGAGGAAAGGCCAUGUAAGAACACAGCAAGAAAAUGGUCAAACUAGCAAGAGAGGCCUCACCAGAUACCAACACUGACAGCACUUUGAUCUUGGACUUCUAACCUCCAGAGCUAUUUUGGGCUGGGGCAUCAGCUUCUUCCUGCCUUCCAACUCCAACUGUGGCAUCAGCUCUUCUUGAAUCUCAAGACUGCCAGCCUUCAAACUGAAACUAUACAUUGACUCUCUUGGUUCUCAGGCCUUUGGACUCAGACUGGAACUGUAACUUGGCUUUCCUGGGUCUGCAGUUGAGCUUGCCAACCCAACCUAAAGGUACUGAAACUUCCCAAGCUCCAUAAUUGUGUAAGCCAAUUCCUCAUAAUAAAUAUCUUCCUUGCUCUCUCUCUGUAUAUAUACACACACAUUUUAUCAGUUCUGUUUCUCUGGAAA
Molecule: long non-coding RNA, 644 nt
Filed under: Homo sapiens (human)
Lineage: Eukaryota; Metazoa; Chordata; Mammalia; Primates; Hominidae
Description: HSALNT0076626
Source: RNAcentral